This 253-nucleotide ribosomal RNA is filed under the name uncultured bacterium. Its description in RNAcentral is "partial 16S ribosomal RNA". It matches the Rfam family "Bacterial small subunit ribosomal RNA", at positions 524 to 776 of the family's 1533-position model. The record is from RNAcentral.
GACGUAGGGGGCCAGCGUUGUUCGGAAUUACUGGGUGUAAAGGGUUCGUAGGCGGUGCGGCAAGUCGGGAGUGAAAUCUCUGGGCUUAACCCAGAGGCUGCUUCCGAAACUGCUGUGCUUGAGUGUGGGAGAGGCGCGUGGAAUUGCAGGUGUAGCGGUGAAAUGCGUAGAUAUCUGCAGGAACACCCGUGGCGAAAGCGGCGCGCUGGACCACUACCGACGCUGAGGAACGAAAGCUAGGGGAGCAAACAGG